CCUACGGGGGGCAGCAGUGAGGAAUAUUGGUCAAUGGCCGCAGGGCUGAACCAGCCAAGUCGCGUGAGGGAUGACGGUCCUAUGGAUUGUAAACCUCUUUUGUCAGGGAGCAAAGGGCGCCACGUGUGGCGCUUUGCGAGUACCUGAAGAAAAAGCAUCGGCUAACUCCGUGCCAGCAGCCGCGGUAAUACGGAGGAUGCGAGCGUUAUCCGGAUUUAUUGGGUUUAAAGGGUGCGCAGGCGGAAUGUUAAGUCAGCGGUAAAAUUUCGGGGCUCAACCCCGUCGUGCCGUUGAAACUGGCGUUCUUGAGUGAGCGAGAAGUAUGCGGAAUGCGUGGUGUAGCGGUGAAAUGCAUAGAUAUCACGCAGAACUCCGAUUGCGAAGGCAGCAUACCGGCGCUCAACUGACGCUCAUGCACGAAAGCGUGGGUAUCGAACAGGAUUAGAUACCCCAGUAGUC
Molecule: ribosomal RNA, 459 nt
Filed under: uncultured bacterium
Lineage: Bacteria
Description: partial 16S ribosomal RNA
Rfam family: Bacterial small subunit ribosomal RNA
Source: RNAcentral